Molecule: ribosomal RNA, 429 nt
Filed under: Gemmatimonadota bacterium
Lineage: Bacteria; Pseudomonadati; Gemmatimonadota
Description: Gemmatimonadetes bacterium partial 16S ribosomal RNA
Rfam family: Bacterial small subunit ribosomal RNA
Source: RNAcentral
UAGGGAAUCUUCGGCAAUGGACGAAAGUCUGACCGAGCAACGCCGCGUGAGUGAAGAAGGUUUUCGGAUCGUAAAACUCUGUUGUUAGAGAAGAACAAGGACGUUAGUAACUGAACGUCCCCUGACGGUAUCUAACCAGAAAGCCACGGCUAACUACGUGCCAGCAGCCGCGGUAAUACGUAGGUGGCAAGCGUUGUCCGGAUUUAUUGGGCGUAAAGCGAGCGCAGGCGGUUUCUUAAGUCUGAUGUGAAAGCCCCCGGCUCAACCGGGGAGGGUCAUUGGAAACUGGGAGGCUUGAGUGCAGAAGAGGAGAGUGGAAUUCCAUGUGUAGCGGUGAAAUGCGUAGAUAUAUGGAGGAACACCAGUGGCGAAGGCGGCUCUCUGGUCUGUAACUGACGCUGAGGAUCGAAAGCGUGGGGGGCAAACAGG